GUCCUGGUCUUGACAUCCCGGAGACCCUUAGGAAACUAGGGGUGCUUCCAUCUGGAAGAAUCUGGAGACAGGUGCUGCAUGGCUGUCGUCAGCUCGUGUCGUGAGAUGUUGGGUUAAGUCCCGCAACGAGCGCAACCCUUGCCUUUAGUUGCCAGCAGUUCGGCUGGGCACUCUAAAGGGACUGCCGGUGUUAAACCGGAGGAAGGUGGGGAUGACGUCAAGUCCUCAUGGCCUUUAUGACCAGGGCUACACACGUACUACAAUGGCCGAUACAAAGGGCAGCGACACUGCGAGGUGAAGCCAAUCCCGUAAAAUCGGUCUCAGUCCGGAUUGGAGUCUGCAACUCGACUCCAUGAAGUUGGAAUCGCUAGUAAUCGUGGAUCAGCAUGCCACGGUGAAUACGUUCCCGGGCCUU
RNAcentral lists this ribosomal RNA (415 nucleotides) under uncultured Desulfobulbus sp. RNAcentral's name for it is "bacterial SSU rRNA". It matches the Rfam family "Bacterial small subunit ribosomal RNA", at positions 966 to 1382 of the family's 1533-position model. Lineage: Bacteria; Pseudomonadati; Thermodesulfobacteriota; Desulfobulbia; Desulfobulbales; Desulfobulbaceae. The record is from RNAcentral.